RNAcentral lists this transfer-messenger RNA (386 nucleotides) under Helicobacter pylori. RNAcentral describes it as "Standard tmRNA". It matches the Rfam family "transfer-messenger RNA". From Rfam's summary of the family: Bacterial tmRNA, also known as 10Sa RNA or SsrA, is named for its dual tRNA and mRNA-like properties. Its role is to liberate the mRNA from a stalled ribosome. The record is from RNAcentral. Lineage: Bacteria; Pseudomonadati; Campylobacterota; Epsilonproteobacteria; Campylobacterales; Helicobacteraceae.
GGGGCUGACUUGGAUUUCGACAGAUUUCUUGUCGCGCAGAUAGCAUGCCAAGCGCUGCUUGUAAAACAGCAACAAAAAUAACUGUAAACAACGCAGAUUACGCUCCAGCUUACGCUAAAGCUGCGUGAGUUAAUCUCCUUUUGGAGCUGGACUGAUUGAAAUUUCUAGCGUUUUAAUCACUCCAUAACCUUAAGCUAGACGCUUUUAAAAGGUGGUUCGCCUUUUAAACUAAGAAACAAGAACUCUUGAAACUACCUCAAGGUUUUAGAAAGUUGGACCAGAGCUAGUUUUAAGGCUAAAAAACUAACCAAUUUUCUAAGCAUUGUAGAAGUUUGUGUUUAGGGCAAGAUUUUUGGACUGGGGUUCGAUUCCCCACAGCUCCACCA